This 30-nucleotide ribosomal RNA is filed under the name fungal sp. 3.23.3D. RNAcentral's name for it is "partial 28S ribosomal RNA". Lineage: Eukaryota; Fungi. The record is from RNAcentral.
UUGACCUCGGAUCAGGUAGGGAUACCCGUC